This 855-nucleotide ribosomal RNA is filed under the name uncultured archaeon. RNAcentral's name for it is "bacterial SSU rRNA". It matches the Rfam family "Archaeal small subunit ribosomal RNA", at positions 36 to 899 of the family's 1478-position model. The record is from RNAcentral.
GAGUGGGACUAAGCCUGCGAGUUAACGCAGCAAUGCGUGGCAUACGGCUCAGUAACACGUAGUCAACAUAACCAGGGGACGUGGAUAACCUCGGGAAACUGAGGAUAAACCGCGAUAGGCCAAGAUUUCUGGAAUGGGUCAUGGCCGAAAUCUACAUGGCCCCUGGAUUGGACUGCGGCCGAUCAGGCUGUUGGUGAGGUAAUGGCCCACCAAACCUGUAACCGGUACGGGCUCUGAGAGGAGGAGCCCGGAGAUGGGCACUGAGACAAGGGCCCAGGCCCUAUGGGGCGCAGCAGGCGCGAAACCUUCUGCAAUAGGCGAAAGCUUGACAGGGUUACUCUGAGUGAUGCCCGUUAAGGGCAUCUUUUGGCACUUCUAAAAAUAGUGUAGAAUAAGGGGUGGGCAAGUCUGGUGUCAGCCGCCGCGGUAAUACCAGCACCCCGAGUGGUCGGGACGAUUAUUGGGCCUAAAGCAUCCGUAGCCGGUUCUGCAAGUCUUCCGUUAAAUCCACCUGCUCAACAGAUGGGCCGCGGGGGAUACUACAGGGCUAGGAGGCGGGAGAGGCAAGCGGUACUCGGUGGGUAGGGGUAAAAUCCUCUGAUCCACCGAAGACCACCAGUGGCGAAGGCGGCUUGCCAGAACGCGCUCGACGGUGAGGGAUGAAAGCUGGGGGAGCAAACCGGAUUAGAUACCCGGGUAGUCCCAGCUGUAAACGAUGCAGACUCGGUGAUGGGUUGGCUUUGAGCCAACCCAGUGCCGCAGGGAAGCCGUUAAGUCUGCCGCCUGGGGAGUACGGUCGCAAGACUGAAACUUAAAGGAAUUGGCGGGGGAGCACCACAAGGGGUAAGCCUCGUC